ACCUUUGGAGGAUGAGGAGAUUAUCUCUUAUCUCCUUGCAGGACUGGACAGCGACUACGAUGCCCUGGUCGAGGUGGUGACGGCGCAGACGACGCCGAUGCCGAUGCGGGAUCUCUAUGCCCAGCUGCUCAGCACCGAGU
Lolium rigidum is the source of this 140-nucleotide small nucleolar RNA. RefSeq annotates it as small nucleolar RNA Z247. The record is from RefSeq and is a predicted model, not a curated record. NCBI's taxonomy places the organism in Eukaryota, Viridiplantae, Streptophyta, Magnoliopsida, Poales, Poaceae. The transcript has a single exon.